GGGCCGUUAGCUCAGGUGGCAGAGCACCUGACUUUUAAUCAGGGUGUCACAGGUUCGAAUCCUGUACGGCCCACCA
RNAcentral lists this transfer RNA (76 nucleotides) under Candidatus Atribacteria bacterium. RNAcentral's name for it is "tRNA-Lys". It matches the Rfam family "tRNA". Rfam says of the family: Transfer RNA (tRNA) molecules are approximately 80 nucleotides in length. Their secondary structure includes four short double-helical elements and three loops (D, anti-codon, and T loops). The record is from RNAcentral. Lineage: Bacteria; Pseudomonadati; Atribacterota; Atribacteria. RNAcentral also lists the same sequence under 1 other name.